RNAcentral lists this ribosomal RNA (415 nucleotides) under uncultured bacterium. Its description in RNAcentral is "bacterial SSU rRNA". It matches the Rfam family "Bacterial small subunit ribosomal RNA", at positions 507 to 921 of the family's 1533-position model. The record is from RNAcentral.
GCCAGCAGCCGCGGUAAGACGAAGGAUGCGAGCGUUAUCCGGAAUUACUGGGCGUAAAGGACGUCUAGGCGGUUGGAUAAGUCAUUUGUGAAAUCCCAGGGCUUAACCCUGGAAGGUCUUGUGAUACUGUCCGGCUUGGGUGUAGGAGAGGAGAGCGGAACUCACAGAGUAGCGGUGGAAUGCGUAGAUACUGUGAGGUACCCCGAUGGCGAAGGCAGCUCUCUGGCCUACUACCGACGCUGAAGCGUGAAAGCGUGGGGAGCAAAGGGGAUUAGAUACCCCCGUAGUCCACGCCCCAAACGAUGUUCACUUGGUGUCGGGAGCCUAUAUAUCUCGGUGCCCGAGCUAACGCGUUAAGUGAACCGCCCUGAGAAUACGGGCGCAAGGCUAAAACUCAAGAAAAUUGGACGGUCCC